UUAGCCAUGAGGAAUAUUGGUCAAUAGCCUGACGGCUGAACCAGCAACUUAGAAGAAUGUAUAACGAAUAAAUCGUAUAAAAUUCUAGAUAGAAAACAGAUACUGACAACUAUUUAUCUAUUAGUCUUGACCAAAUUACGUGCCAGCAGUCGCGGCAAUACGCAGAAGACAAGUGUUAUUCAUCUUUAUUUGGUUUAAAGGGUACCUAGACGGGAAAUAAAGCCUUAGUUGGGACUAAUUUUCUAGAGUUUUAUGGGAGAAAGUCGAAUGUCAGGAGGAGAGAUUAAAUACUGUGAUACUAGACGGACGGACAACGGCGUAGGCAGCUUUCUAUGUAAAAACUGACGUUGAGGGACGAAGCCCUGGGUAGCAAGAAGGAUUAGAUACCCUAGUAGUCCAGGGAGACAAUGAUGAGUGCCAUAGGCUAGAUAAAUUAGUUUAUAAAUGAAAGUGUAAGCAUUCCACCUUGAGACUAACGCGGCAACGCCCAAAUUGAAAUCAUUAGACCGUUUCUGAAACCAGUAGUGGAGUAUGUUAUUUAAUUCGAUGAUCCGCGAAUAACCUUACCACCUUUUGAAUACUUUUUGUAAAAGCAGGAGUGCUUUUAUCACCACAAAUUGUACAAGUGCUGCACGGCUGUCUUUAGUUAAUGUCGUGAGACUUUGGUUAACCCCUUUAAUUAACGAAAACCCUUGUUUUAUUUGUUUAUAUAAAACAGUUCUCCGCUAUAUUGGAUAAGAUAACAGGGAUUAAGGCAAGUCAUCAUGCCUUAUAAACGGUGG
Molecule: ribosomal RNA, 782 nt
Filed under: Dermatocarpon miniatum
Lineage: Eukaryota; Fungi; Ascomycota; Eurotiomycetes; Verrucariales; Verrucariaceae
Description: SSU rRNA
Rfam family: Bacterial small subunit ribosomal RNA
Source: RNAcentral